AGGAUCCUCCAAAACACAACUCUUUCUUCGGUGUGUACAAUCGAACCGUUGCCAUCCCGCGUUACUGUAAGAACCUGAAACAACAUAACAUAAACAACGUAAGCACGAAGCUUAGUGAGUUCCCCAAUAUACCUUACGCACAUACGCCUUCCGGCCCGACCUUCCGGUCCAUGUGUCUCAGGGGACUUCCGUCCCUGCUGGGUAAACCUUCCGGCCUUACCCACGCCGACCUUCCGGUCCAUCACACAUCCUCCGGUCCAUGUGUCUCAGGGGACUUCCGUCCCUGCUGGGUAAACCUUCCGGCCUUACCCACGCCGACCUUCCGGUCCAUCACACAUCAUAUCGCCUUCCGGCCCAUAAUAUAUUCGCCUUCCGGCCCAUAACAUACAUAGCACAUAUAACAUAUAACAUACCACAUAUAGCAUACAUAUCACAUAUCAUAUCCGACCUUCCGGUCACACAGUCAAACCCUUCCGGGUACAGUAUAGUGAGAAGACUCACCUCGCGGACACUAGAAGAUAGCAACUCCUAAAGUCCCUUGCACUUGAUACUCCGAGCUACAAGCUCCCUGUAACAUCAUAUAUCCCUUAUCAAUACUUCUAUCUUCCACGUUAACUGACCCUAAGAAAUCACACCAGUCAACUCUGGUCAACAGUCCAUUGUCAGCUCGACUGGACUCGGCGAGUUCCCUGGCGACUCGGCGAGUCUGGUCGUCCUUCAAUCCUCUAAGAUUCCCCUUCUACUCGUCGAGUAUCCUCUUUGACUCGACGAGUCACUCCUGGAAGAAUCGCGGGGCCACCCCGACUCCACUCGCCGAGUCUGAAGAACAACUCGGCGAGUCCCAGUGAAUCUUCAAGCUACUCGCCGAGUCUGAUCAUCCGACUCGGCGAGUCCACGCCAUGCAGUCGAUCAAACUGCUUCCUGAGAUACAUAUUUCCCCGAAUAUACAAACAUAGGACCUUCUGGACCUCUAAGGGGUACUAAUACAGGGUUAUAAACGUUGGAUAACAACACAACAAUCCAUCUAAUCUCCAAAUGGGUUUCACAAACCCUAAAUCCAUGCACACAUUCACAUAACAGAAAAUAAUCCGAAAGGUUACCUGAAUCAUGCACUCUCAGUGUCCCCAAGCCUCAAAACGUGAUUCCCUUGCUGUCCCAUUAGCCAAAACCUUCUCCUUCUUGGACAAUAACUUCCUCAAAUCACCAAUGAUCUUCAAUCCUUGUUCUGGAUGCCCACAACCGAUUUAGGNNNNNNNNNNNNNNNNNNNNNNNNNNNNNNNNNNNNNNNNNNNNNNNNNNNNNNNNNNNNNNNNNNNNNNNNNNNNNNNNNNNNNNCUCGCCGAGUCCAUAUCGGACUCGUCGAGUCCAGUCGCGAACCCACGACCCGGUCUGCGAUCCUACUCAGCGAGUCAAGGCUCCAACUCGCCGAGUCCCUUUUUAAAACACCCCGAAAUCAUAAUUAUAUCAAUAUUUGAAAUUCCGGGCUGUUACAACUCUCCCCCACUAGAACUAGACUUCGCCCUCGAAGUCUCACUCUGAAAAUAGCCCUGGAUGCUGCUCCCGCAUCACACGUUUCGGCUUCCCUAAACACUUCCGAUAUCUUCCGAGGUCGCUACUGAACCAAUACCAGAGGUACCUCCUUGUUCCUCAGAACCUUGAUCUUCCGAUCUCCGACGGCCACUGGCCUCUCGACGUAACACAGGCUCGCAUCCACCUAAUCGUUCUCUAGUAGAACCACUGCUGACUCAUCCGCUAUACACCUCUUCAACUGCGACACAUACCAGUGUCAUGGAUCCGUCCCAAUUCCGUUGACAGCUCCAAACGAUAGGCCACCCUUCCUACCUUCGCACCUUCACGAAAAGACCCAACAUACCGGGGCCCCCCAUUUACCCCUCUUCCUAAAUCGAAGCACCCCGUCAGAAAUACGAAGUCGCUGACCUGAAUCACAUACUCGUAACGGCGUCUGCCUGCAUAACUUUCCUGUUAACUCUAAACGAUCACUAACUCUCCUUAACCUGCUGAGUCUGCUCUGUCGACUGAAGCCCAAACUCUGUACUGUCCAUCUCUCUCUGUAACCGAGAACCACCCAAGAUGCAACUCUGCUCUUAAACCCCAACAAUCACUCGAACAAUGAGGGUUAGGAAGCCCUGAACCACCGGAUCCCCGAUCCAAAGCCCACUUUGUCCAUCCCAGACCAACUGAGAGAUCCAUUCUCACUCCCAGAGUAACUCUCACAAAUUCUCCUCUUGCCAUCAUAUACACAUGCUGAACUAGCCCCAACACUCGUAGGUUGGAAGACCCGAUACACUGAUGAUAUCCUCGAACAUCUCCCAAGAUGAACCACUACAUCCACCCUACACUCUGAUCAGAUUCACACUGAGAAUUUAAAAUUUUCUCUCUCCAUGCAUCCCUUCUGAGCCUCAACAGACAUCCCAACCGGAUGGGUUCCUACUCCACUGCCGCGAACACGAUGCUCAAAACCAUACUCGAAAUACUCUAACCAUAACUCUGCUCUGCAGCUUUCACUUUCGUGAACUUGCACCCCCUUCGGAGUUACAUACCCUCCUCUUUUCCUUUUCCACGGAACUCUCUUGAACAUAAUGCCACUCCAACCGGUGCCACGGUGCUCGCCCCAAGCGACACCACCCUUUUUGCGUAACUGCUAUUCACAUACUCUGGUUCUCAUUGCAGGGGCUCUCAAUCCCAUGCACUCUCUCCACUCAUCAAAAUCACUGCCUCCGCUAAACAAGAUCAAUAACCCGGGGCCAGACCUUCCAAUGCAAUCACACUGCAACAUACGCGAUCCGCAAAUCUCAAACUAAUCCAGCAAUACCAACAGAGUCUCCAGUAUGACUGGACCGACUCUCAUAACACAUACUAGCCACUCGAGGCUAUAUCUCUGUGGGUCCGUACACCCAACUCUGCGAACCCUCAGGUUCUAACUCUGGGAACCUUCCGGUUCCAGCUCUAGAAACAUGCACAACAUAAUCCCGUGGGAUUAAUGCAGUACAACCCAUCACGUACCUCAAACGUACCAAUACUCUGAUCGCAAAAUUCCGAUUACUUACUCAAGCUUGAUCCCGACCUCCUCUCAGGCCUCCACAAUCAAAUGCCCUAGGUCUGUAUCUCGCCCCGCAUACCCAACACUCGCUCUCGUCGGCCUAUACUUUGCGCUGACAAACACUGCUGAAUCCCAACAGCUAAGCACCCUUACAUACUCAUCGAUCUCCCGGAGAAUUUUACAAUUCUCCCCCACUAAAGCACUGACUAACUGCCACCGAUCGUCAUUAACGACCUUUCAGAACCAUCCUGCACAAAGAGAACAUUUACCCACUGACUGCUUCCCACAAGCGUAAGCAACCCUCAGCAAAACACAUCUCCUCCCUGAUCAAUCCGCUCAAAAGAAUCCGAUCUUUCAAUUAUCCACUCCACAACUGCAGAUGCUACCCGUCAUUCAACCCAGUGCCGCAUCUCCACUAUCAACCCUCACGAACGAUGACCAACGGAAUUCCCAAGCAAUAACCCAUAACCAAACCCACAACCUGCCAAAGGUUGAAUAUCGCAUCGAAAACCACCCAAGGCUACCGGCACCAAAACACCAAGCUAUAAUCAUGCCAAACCCGCGAAACAACGAAUACCUCAUCGAAAUCCACACCAGACACCAGCACCACAAUACGCCACAAUCAACGCCAGCUAGUCAAGAUAUCAAGAGAGCAUCAUACCCGCAGCUGCCUCUGGCACUGCUCCGUCUCCCUCUGCCGCAAGCCGAUAAGCACGACCCUGAGCCCUUGGGCUCUGCUCCAUCCUGUCCUCCUCCUGAACUCCUCAAGGUGGCCGAUGCUAGAGCCUGCACCGGUCCUGCAGGAAACUGUGGACGGUUGACCCUCAAAUGUCCAACCUGCCGACACUGAUAACAAAUCCUGAAAUCCCGAAUUGGCACUGACUGCCGACAAUCCCGUGCACCAUGCCCCUCCUUUCCGCACUUGCGGCAUGCACCACUGGGCCAACAAGCUCCGGUGCCAUCUCUCUCACACUUCCCACAAGUGUGACCGCUCCGAUCCCCCAUUCUAACGUCUACGGUCAUGGACCGUUUCGGCGCCGACUGCGACUGCAUCGGGGCCUGCCUCAUCUCACGCUACUGCAACUCAACCUCUAACUCACGCCACAUGGCGGCCUCCUGCGAUACCAACACGGUCUCGCGCCUCUGCGCAGACACGAACUGUCUGAUCCCCCCCCUUGAGCAUACUCGGAUAUCGGGACAUCUGAGCCUGCUCCGAAGCGAACUCAGGGCAAAACAUCGCCCUCUCAAUAAACAUCCCGGUGCUCUCAGUCACCGACUCCAAAUCCUGCCUCAGCUUAAAGAACUUCCGAGCCAAUUUCUCCUUUUCAUCCCGCGGAACAUAGCGAGUACUGAACAUCCCUCUGAAUUGAUCCCAUGAAACCGCAGCCCUCUGCGCAUCGGAAAAUGACCUCGUGGUCAAUCUCCACCAAUCCUUCGCCCCGAGCCUCAAUAGGUUCAGAGCACACCCCACCCUCUGAUCAGCAGGGCAUAAACUCGUGGAGAAACACCCCUCCAUGUCUGAUAACCAUCUCAUAGCAACAAUCGAGUCCUGAACUCCAUCGAAUGUGGGAGGCUUCGCAUAAUAGAAGUCCCGAUACUGAAAACCCCGACUAGUCCCUUUCUUUGCCGUUGCUACAGCCGCUGUAACCGCCGCGGCAGCCGUCUCUGCGAAAGCCGCAUAUCGCUCAUCAAACUACUUCAAUCAUAGUGGUCCUGAUCGACCCAAACAAUUCUGGCGACUCAACCCGCAACAAUGCAGCAACCUCAUCACGCCGGAUCUCGCGAAUCCUCGCAUCCCGCUCGCUCGUGCUCGUCCGAUCGAUAACCGGAUAACAAGAUAGCCACAAGCAUCAUCCACUACGAACCAUGGUACUCAUCCCAUGACAUCCUUCCUCAACAUGCUUCGGUGUAUGGUACCUGAACCAUAGCACCAUUCCUCAACCUGCUCCAAUGUAUAGCACUCGAACCACAACAUCUAUCUCAAUCUGUUCCGAUGUAUGGUGCCCUGACCAUAACAUCACUCUGUAUCCGCUCCGAUGUAUGGUAUCCGAACCAUAACAUCACCCCUCAAUCUGUUCCUUAGGACCUUCAGAAUGCCCCCUGUAUCAAGUAUGGGUCCUCUGCUUUCAGUAGUACGGGCCCAUACUACCUGCCACAUCUACCCAUACUUUCCACACGGACCAUCCCAGAGUUCCUAAGUAGCUGAUAAACCUGCUCUUUCACCCAUCUCAUCGCGCGUGCUCGCUUUCCAGCGAAAUCCUCUACUCUACCAGCGCACUCAUCUGGCUAGGUUUACUCCCUAGUCCCUUCCGCUGUCCUCCCACUUCUUUGCUAUCAGCUGCUGAAGAGUUCCUAAUGAUGCCAGCCCUCUACCUCCUGAGUAUCGUCAUACUCACUUAGUAGCUGACUCCCAUCAUCGACAACUCCACAAAGCACAAAGCAAGCAGCAUUCGAGCAUUGAAGCAUACAUAGGACUCCCCAUCUGUGGUAGCUCCACCUUCUCGGCUCAUCCUCGGAAGUACCUCUGUACCCCGUAGCUUUACCCCUUGUGCGUUCCGACUAGAUACUCUCACUCAUCACACGCACACAAAAUCAUAAUGCACAUAUAACAGCAGACCCUAGACUAAGGCAUCACAAAUCAGGCCACUCUAGUCCUAAGAUGUGAAAUACCUAGCCUGUCUCUAGCAUGCAAUAAUAUCUCAUAAAGUGCAUAAUAGAUAUUUCAUAAUACAAAAGUAAGGGUAUUUUGGGAAAUCACCGUUUGGCUCUGGCUGAUUGUACACACUGCUCUUUCUUGCUUUCUCUUUGAACUCUUAUUCACUUUUAGAAAACCAUUUAUUUGGAAAACUUUUUCUUACUUCCUCAGUUUGAGUCCAGAUUUACCCGUAGGCGCGUCCGAAUCCCUCAAACCAAGGCUCUGAUACCAAUUUGUAACACCGUGAUUUCCAAAAACAAAAUUUUCAUUUAAAUAAUCAAUUUAAUAUUAAAAACACUUGUUUAAAAUCUUAUUCACAUUCGAAUUACAAAACAUAGUUUCAUUUUCAUUAUAAUAGAAGACCAGGAUCCUCCAAAACACAACUCUUUCUUCGGUGUGUACAAUCGAACCGUUGCCAUCCCGCGUUACUGUAAGAACCUGAAACAACAUAACAUAAACAACGUAAGCACGAAGCUUAGUGAGUUCCCCAAUAUAACUUACGCACAUACGCCUUCCGGCCCGGACCUUUCGGUCCACAUAACAUUGCCUUCCGGCCCGACCUUCCGGUCCAUGUGUCUCAGGGGACUUCCGUCCCUGCUGGGUAAACCUUCCGGCCUUACCCACGCCGACCUUCCGGUCCAUCACACAUCAUAUCGCCUUCCGGCCCAUAACAUAUUCGCCUUCCGGCCCAUAACAUACAUAGCACAUAUAACAUAUAACAUACCACAUAUAGCAUACAUAUCACAUAUCAUAUCCGACCUUCCGGUCACACAGUCAAACCCUUCCGGGUACAGUAUAGUGAGAAGACUCACCUCGCGGACACUAGAAGAUAGCAACUCCUAAAGUCCCUUGCACUUGAUACUCCGAGCUACAAGCUCCCUGUAACAUCAUAUAUCCCUUAUCAAUACUUCUAUCUUCCACGUUAACUGACCCUAAGAAAUCACACCAGUCAACUCUGGUCAACAGUCCAUUGUCAGCUCGACUGGACUCGGCGAGUUCCCUGGCGACUCGGCGAGUCUAGUCGUCCUCACCAAUUCCUGCAGAAUCCCUUUCUACUCGUCGAGUAUCCCUCUUGACUCGACGAGGUCCUCGUGGAAGAAUCGCGGGGCCACCCCGACUCUACUCGCCGAGUCUGAUGAACAACUCGGCGAGUCCCAGUAAAUCUUCAAGCUACUCGCCGAGUCUGAAGAACAACUCGGCGAGUCCAUGCCAUGCAGACGAGUAACUGCUUCCUGAAAUACGUAUGGUCCCGAAAUACACAAUCAUGGGACCUUCUGGACCUCUAAUCAUCCUAUUACUGGGUUACAAACACUUGGGUAACAACAUAAUAAUUCCUCUAAUCACCAAAUGGGUUUCACAAACCCUAAUCCCAUAACACAUCAACAUAGCAGAGGAUAAUUCGAGUUCUUACCUGAAUAAUGAAUCCUCUGUGUCCCCAAUCCUCAGAAUGUGACUCCCUUGCUGCUCCUUUAGCCAAUCCUUUCUCUUCCUUGCACAACAAUUCUUUCAAGAUCAACAAUGGCCCUAAGACUUUGCUCCAGAUGCACCCACUCGAUUUAGGGUUCUUCCCAGAAGGCUAAACUGAACAAUGAUGGCCAAUGACUGCCUCUUAUACGUCCCAACCUGAACGGUUAGGGUUUUUCGCUAACAGCGUCGACUCGCCGAGUCCAUAUCGGACUCGUCGAGUCCAGUCGCGAACCCACGACCCGGUCUGCGAUCCUACUCGGCGAGUCAAGGCUCCAACUCGCCGAGUCCCUUUUUAAAACACCCC
This 7527-nucleotide long non-coding RNA is filed under the name Lactuca sativa (garden lettuce). Its description in RNAcentral is "long non-coding RNA (LSAT_LNC005431)". Lineage: Eukaryota; Viridiplantae; Streptophyta; Magnoliopsida; Asterales; Asteraceae. The record is from RNAcentral.